CAGAGGUGGCAAGCGUUGUUCGGAUUUACUGGGCGUAAAGGGUCCGUAGGCGGUUCAGAAAGUCAUGUGUGAAAGCCCACAGCUCAACUGUGGAACUGCAUAUGAAACUUCUGGACUAGAGUAUGAGAGGGGUUAAGGGAAUUCCCGGUGUAAGGGUGAAAUCUGCAGAGAUCGGGAGGAACACCAGUCGCGAAGGCGCAUAACUGGCUCAUUACUGACGCUCAGGGACGAAAGCUAGGGUAGCAAACGGGAUUAGAUACCCCGGUAGUCCUAGCUGUAAGCGAUGGUCACUAGGUGUUGGGGGGGUUAAACCCUUCGGUGCCGACGCUCACGCAUUAAGUGACCCGCCUGGGGAGUACGGUCGCAAGACUG
Molecule: ribosomal RNA, 372 nt
Filed under: uncultured organism
Description: bacterial SSU rRNA
Rfam family: Bacterial small subunit ribosomal RNA
Source: RNAcentral